RNAcentral lists this long non-coding RNA (1096 nucleotides) under Ananas comosus (pineapple). Its description in RNAcentral is "long non-coding RNA (ACOM_LNC018499)". The record is from RNAcentral. Lineage: Eukaryota; Viridiplantae; Streptophyta; Magnoliopsida; Poales; Bromeliaceae.
CACAUUUAAUGGUCCAGUCACAGUAUUUUGCGGAUUUCGAUCUGACUCAAUACAUAUGGACUUUAGUUUUAUUGCUGGAUCUUUUGCCGUUAAGUUUGUUGUGAAUUAUAGCCCCGCUCAAUCUAUUAAUCUUCUAAUAGAGUAUGAAAGAGAGUCUGAAAUGUGGUUGCCAAAUAUGGGGAAGAUAGGAAAGACGUAUCUAUCACCCUUAAGGGUCCAGUCACAAUACUUUACGGAUUUCGACCUGAUUCAACUUAUGCGGAAUUUAGUUACAUUAUUGGAUCUCUUACUCUUAGAUUUAUUCUGAAUCAUCACCCCACUCAAUCGAUUAAUUUUCCAAGUCUAUUGUUACAGGACAGAAAGUUUGACCUAUUUUAGUUAACAAUAAAUAACCAACAAUUUCCCACCUAACGUUUGCACUGUCAAUGUAGUAUUUGGGAAUCGAAGCCAAAUAAGUAGCACCACUGAAUCUGAUACUGCUUGUGAAUCAUAAGUGCUAAUCAACUAUUCCAAAAGCAUGUACUGAUAGGAAGGUUGCAUCUAUUGCAUUUAAGAGCUCAACUGUAAAGUUUCACGAGCUUCAACCUGACUCAAUCUAGUUGAACGUUAGGUCUGUUGUUAGGUCUCUUGUCAUUAGAUCUAUUGUAGAUUACAGCUACACUCAACUUAUUAGCCGCACCCAACGCAACUUAUUAAUAUCCUGGGCCUAUUAUCACUGGACAGGAAGUUGGAUCUACUUUAGCCAAUAAUAAAUAGCCAACGGAAUUUAUCCAUCCUAUCAUAAUUUUUUUCGUAAAUAUAAACUAUGAAUUAUAUUGAGUUGGUUCAACUUUUUAAUUUAUUUGAUUUGAGUGAGACAACGACAAUUUGGUUUUAAAAUUUAAAUCCGUCAUUUAUCUAAUUAUCUUUACAGCUUUAGUCAGCAUGCUUCACGCAACUCUCGCAGGUUGUAAAUUCAUCGAAAUAAGUAAUUAACUUAAAUUGUAAAGCCAAAGUACAAUUGACGGAUUCAAAUUGAACAAAUUAAAAAAUUAAAUAGUAAAAUUAAAAUUUUAAAAGAUUGAAAAACUGAUUCAAAAUCGCUCAUGAUUCAGGU